GACGAACGCUGGCGGCGUGCCUAAUACAUGCAAGUAGAACGCUGAAGGAGGAGCUUGCUUCUCUGGAUGAGUUGCGAACGGGUGAGUAACGCGUAGGUAACCUGCCUGGUAGCGGGGGAUAACUAUUGGAAACGAUAGCUAAUACCGCAUAACAGUAGAUAUUGCAUGAUAUCUGCUUGAAAGGUGCAAUUGCAUCACUACCAGAUGGACCUGCGUUGUAUUAGCUAGUUGGUGAGGUAACGGCUCACCAAGGCGACGAUACAUAGCCGACCUGAGAGGGCGAUCGGCCACACUGGGACUGAGACACGGCCCAGACUCCUACGGGAGGCAGCAGUAGGGAAUCUUCGGCAAUGGACGGAAGUCUGACCGAGCAACGCCGCGUGAGUGAAGAAGGUUUUCGGAUCGUAAAGCUCUGUUGUAAGAGAAGAACGAGUGUGAGAGUGGAAAGUUCACACUGUGACGGUAUCUUACCAGAAAGGGACGGCUAACUACGUGCCAGCAGCCGCGGUAAUACGUAGGUCCCGAGCGUUGUCCGGAUUUAUUGGGCGUAAAGCGAGCGCAGGCGGUUAGAUAAGUCUGAAGUUAAAGGCUGUGGCUUAACCAUAGUACGCUUUGGAAACUGUUUAACUUGAGUGCAAGAGGGGAGAGUGGAAUUCCAUGUGUAGCGGUGAAAUGCGUAGAUAUAUGGAGGAACACCGGUGGCGAAAGCGGCUCUCUGGCUUGUAACUGACGCUGAGGCUCGAAAGCGUGGGGAGCAAACAGG
This 763-nucleotide ribosomal RNA is filed under the name uncultured Streptococcus sp. Its description in RNAcentral is "bacterial SSU rRNA". It matches the Rfam family "Bacterial small subunit ribosomal RNA", at positions 28 to 776 of the family's 1533-position model. Lineage: Bacteria; Bacillati; Bacillota; Bacilli; Lactobacillales; Streptococcaceae. The record is from RNAcentral.